This 431-nucleotide ribosomal RNA is filed under the name Proagoderus bicallossus. Its description in RNAcentral is "partial 16S ribosomal RNA". It matches the Rfam family "Bacterial large subunit ribosomal RNA", at positions 1844 to 2525 of the family's 2925-position model. The record is from RNAcentral. Lineage: Eukaryota; Metazoa; Arthropoda; Insecta; Coleoptera; Scarabaeidae.
UUUAAAGUCUGACCUGCCCUAUGAUAUUAAUAUUAAAUGGCCGCGAUAGCUUGAUCGUGCAAAGGUAGCAUAAUCAUUAGUUUUUUAAUUGGGAACUGGUAUGAAAGGUCGAACGAAAAAGAGGCUGUCUCGAUUUAAAUUUAAUUAGAAUUUUAUUUUUAAGUAAAAAAGCUUAAAUGAAUUUAAAAGACGAGAAGACCCUAUAGAGUUUUAUAUUUAAUUAAAGUGGGAAAAAUUUAAGAAUUUUAUUUUUUUUAUUUUUAUUUAAAUAUUUGGUUGGGGCGAUUAAAAAAUUUGAAUAACUUUUUUUAAAAUUUAUACAUUGAUAUAUGAAUAAGUGAUCCAUUAAUUAUGAUUAAAAGAUUAAAUUACCUUAGGGAUAACAGCGUAAUUUUUUUUGAGAGUUCUUAUCGAAAAAAGAGUUUGCGACC